RNAcentral lists this ribosomal RNA (1345 nucleotides) under uncultured organism. Its description in RNAcentral is "bacterial SSU rRNA". It matches the Rfam family "Bacterial small subunit ribosomal RNA", at positions 65 to 1408 of the family's 1533-position model. The record is from RNAcentral.
AGGGGUACAGGAGUAGCAAUACUGCUGACGACGGCGCACGGGUGAGUAACGCGUAUGCAACCUACCUUCGACUGGAGAAUAGCCCGAAGAAAUUCGGAUUAAUGCUCCAUGAGACCACAAUACCGCAUGAUAUAGUGGUAAAAGCUCCGGCGGUCAAAGAUGGGCAUGCGUGCCAUUAGUUAGUUGGUGAGGUUACGGCUCACCAAGACAACGAUGGCUAGGGGGUCUGAGAGGAUGAUCCCCCACACUGGUACUGAGACACGGACCAGACUCCUACGGGAGGCAGCAGUGAGGAAUAUUGGUCAAUGGACGCAAGUCUGAACCAGCCAUGCCGCGUGCAGGAUGAAUGCCCUAUGGGUUGUAAACUGCUUGUCUACAAGAAGAAACUUCCUGAUGUAUCAGGAACUGACGGUAUUGUAGGAGUAAGCAUGGGUUAAACUUCGGUGCCAGCAGCAGGGGUAAUACGGAGGAUGCAAGCGUUAUCCGGAUUCAUGGGGUUAAAGGGGUGCGUAGGCGGGGUAGUAAGUCAAUGGUUAAAGCGUGCGGCUUAACCCGUAGAAUUGCCAUUGAUACUGCUACUCAUGAGUGCAGUUGAGUAGGGCGGAAAGUGUACGUAGCGGUGAAACGCUUAAGAGAGUACACAGAACACCGAUUGCGUAGGCAGCUUACUAAACUGUAAACUGACGCUGAGGCACGAAAGCGUGGGGAGCGAACAGGAUUAGAUACCCUGGUAGUCCACGCUGUAAACUAUGAUCACUCGCUGUUGGCGAUACAUUGUCAGCGGCUGAGCGAAAGCAUUAAGUGAUCCACCUGGGGAGUACGGCCGCAAGGUUGAAACUCAAAGGAAUUGACGGGGGCCCGCACAAGCGGUGGAACAUGUGGUUUAAUUCGAUGAUACGCGAGGAACCUUACCUGGGCUUAAAUGCAGAACGACGUACCGGGAAACUGGUACUCCCUUCGGGGCGGACUGCAAGGUGCUGCAUGGUUGUCGUCAGCUCGUGCCGUGAGGUGUCGGGUUAAGUCCCAUAACGAGCGCAACCCUCAUUGUUAGUUGCCAGCGAGUAAUGUCGGGGACUCUAACGAAACUGCCGGUGUAAACCGUGAGGAAGGUGGGGAUGACGUCAAAUCAGCACGGCCCUUACGUCCAGGGCUACACACGUGUUACAAUGGCCAGUACAAAGGGCAGCUACCACGCGAGUGGAUGCUAAUCUCUAAAGCUGGUCUCAGUUCGGAUUGAAGUCUGCAACUCGACUUCAUGAAGCUGGAAUCGCUAGUAAUCGCGCAUCAGCCAUGGCGCGGUGAAUACGUUCCCGGGCAUUGUACACACCGCCCGUCAAGCCACGGA